GAUGAACGCUGGCGGCGUGCCUAAUACAUGCAAGUCGAGCGAACAGACGAGGAGCUUGCUCCUCUGACGUUAGCGGCGGACGGGUGAGUAACACGUGGAUAACCUACCUAUAAGACUGGGAUAACUUCGGGAAACCGGAGCUAAUACCGGAUAAUAUAUUGAACCGCAUGGUUCAAUAGUGAAAGACGGUUUUGCUGUCACUUAUAGAUGGAUCCGCGCCGCAUUAGCUAGUUGGUAAGGUAACGGCUUACCAAGGCAACGAUGCGUAGCCGACCUGAGAGGGUGGUCGCCCACACUGGAACUGAGACACGGUCCAGACUCCUACGGGAGGCAGCAGUAGGGAAUCUUCCGCAAUGGGCGAAAGCCUGACGGAGCAACGCCGCGUGAGUGAUGAAGGUCUUCGGAUCGUAAAACUCUGUUAUUAGGGAAGAACAAAUGUGUAAGUAACUAUGCACGUCUUGACGGUACCUAAUCAGAAAGCCACGGCUAACUACGUG
This 497-nucleotide ribosomal RNA is filed under the name uncultured bacterium. RNAcentral describes it as "partial 16S ribosomal RNA". It matches the Rfam family "Bacterial small subunit ribosomal RNA", at positions 28 to 507 of the family's 1533-position model. The record is from RNAcentral.